UUACGGCCAUAUCACGUUGAACCACCGGUUCUCGUACGACCACCGAAGUUAAGUAACGUCAAGCCUGGCAAGUACCUAGAUGGGUGACCACUUUGGAAGACCAGGUGUUGUG
Acanthosepion pharaonis is the source of this 112-nucleotide non-coding RNA. NCBI's taxonomy places the organism in Eukaryota, Metazoa, Mollusca, Cephalopoda, Sepiida, Sepiidae. The record is from the annotation of a GenBank genome assembly.